UACAGAGGGUGCGAGCGUUAAUCGGGAUUACUGGGCGUAAAGCGUGCGUAGACGGUUAUUUAAGUCGGGUGUGAAAGCCCCGGGCUCAACCUGGGAAUUGCAUUCGAGACUGAAUAGCUAGGGUACGGUAGAGGGAAGUGGAAUUUCCGGUGUAGCGGUGAAAUGCGUAGAUAUCGGAAGGAACAUCAGUGGCGAAAGCGGCUUCCUGGACCAGUACCGACGUUCAGGCACGAAAGCGUGGGGAGCAAACAGG
Molecule: ribosomal RNA, 253 nt
Filed under: uncultured bacterium
Lineage: Bacteria
Description: partial 16S ribosomal RNA
Rfam family: Bacterial small subunit ribosomal RNA
Source: RNAcentral